UAGGCAGAGGCCUGUUGGUCUUAGGCACCUAGCUGUUAACUAGGGGGUCGUGGGGUCGGAACCCACCUGCCUAG
RNAcentral lists this transfer RNA (74 nucleotides) under Psittacus erithacus (grey parrot). Its description in RNAcentral is "tRNA-Asn". Lineage: Eukaryota; Metazoa; Chordata; Aves; Psittaciformes; Psittacidae. The record is from RNAcentral.